AUAGAUGCGAAGAAGAGAAAAGUAAAUUUGAUAAGUUUUAUAAGCGAAUUGGGAAAUGGUGUGAGCCCAAGUAAAAUAUCAAGCUGAAAGACAUCUCGGAGCAUAUUAUCUGAAAUUAUUAGGAUAAUACGGUUUCUACCGUUAAAAUGAUAAAGAGAGUCAAUUUAUUUGAUUUUAAAUAAAGGAUGGCACCGUGAAAAGCCUUCACUCCUUACUGGAGUGGAGGCUUUUUUUAUUUUAAAUAAAUUGAUUAAUCAGGGUGGUACCGCGUUUAAAAUCGUCCCUUUU
RNAcentral lists this non-coding RNA (288 nucleotides) under Clostridium acetobutylicum. RNAcentral describes it as "T-box sequence". It matches the Rfam family "T-box leader". From Rfam's summary of the family: Uncharged tRNA acts as the effector for transcription antitermination of genes in the T-box leader family. T-boxes are found upstream of many aminoacyl-tRNA synthetase genes and some amino acid biosynthetic genes usually in Gram-positive bacteria. Lineage: Bacteria; Bacillati; Bacillota; Clostridia; Eubacteriales; Clostridiaceae. The record is from RNAcentral.